This 217-nucleotide signal recognition particle RNA is filed under the name Chlorocebus sabaeus (green monkey). Its description in RNAcentral is "Metazoan signal recognition particle RNA". It matches the Rfam family "Metazoan signal recognition particle RNA". Rfam says of the family: The signal recognition particle (SRP) is a universally conserved ribonucleoprotein. It is involved in the co-translational targeting of proteins to membranes. The record is from Rfam by way of RNAcentral. Lineage: Eukaryota; Metazoa; Chordata; Mammalia; Primates; Cercopithecidae.
GCCGGGCGCGGUGGUUCACGCCUGUAAUCCCAGCACUUUGGGAGGCCAAGACGGGCGGAUCACGAGGUCAGGAGAUCGAGACCAUCCUGGCGAACACGGUGAAACCCCGUCUCUACUAAAAAAUACANNNNNNNNNNUGUAUUUUUUAGUAGAAACGGGGUUUCACUGUGUUAACCAGGAUGGUCUCGAUCUCCUGACCUCGUGAUCCGCCCGUCUC